This is a long non-coding RNA of Tupaia belangeri chinensis (Chinese tree shrew), 522 nucleotides long. RefSeq lists it as uncharacterized. The record is from RefSeq and is a predicted model, not a curated record. The transcript has 3 exons. NCBI's taxonomy places the organism in Eukaryota, Metazoa, Chordata, Mammalia, Scandentia, Tupaiidae.
UGUUCUAGAGAUAGCUUUUCCAGGCAGAACUGCAGUUUUAAUUUGAAAUUGGGAAGCUGGAAUCAAGAAGCCACAGGAAUACGACACCACCAUUACUGCGGUCACUGCACAACUACCCAGGAGGCUGGAGGAGGGAACCUGGAAUCCUGUUGCAGGAAAGCCUCAUGUUUCCUGGACUGUGCUUGCCAGGAGAAAAGCAACUAAAAGGAGCAGCACUCUACUCUCUGGGAAAUUUCAGCAUGGAGAGAAAGAAAGUUUUACCGCCAAUUUGUGCCUGAAACGCAAGAUGAACAGACGUCUGCUGCAUUAAAAAAGGACAUAGGCAUGCAUUAAAUCCCUUAUGUCUUACUUUUUAAUGAUGCAAUUGUGAAUUAUGUUCUUGUUGCAUUUGUAAUUAGAGGCUGCAGCAGAUGGUGAAGACUUAUUUUAAAGUGAUGUGUCUAUUAAAAUAAGCCACACUGCCAAAUGAUUGUUCACUGUAACGGCAUCUUUACGCCCCUGAAACACUCCGAUUCUUUGUUG